Non-coding RNA from Corylus avellana, 347 nucleotides. The record is from RefSeq and is a predicted model, not a curated record. Lineage: Eukaryota; Viridiplantae; Streptophyta; Magnoliopsida; Fagales; Betulaceae.
GUUUUUCUAAAACUAGCUACCUAGAGAAGAUUUGGUGGAGUUUUACUUCUAAAGGAUUAUUGGAUCUUGAUGCAGGGAUAGAAAGUGAGGACGAUGGUCCUUUUACUGGUUUUGAUGGUUGAUAGACCAUCUGCUGCAGGAUUUAUGCUUACUCUAUGGAGCAAGUCUCAUUUAUGUUAAUCGCUUUUAUUAUGUAUGGUGAUGUAUGUAAACUUAAUAGAUAUUACUAUGUUAAUUUAGGUGCCGUCUGUGGCAUAUAUUUGGUACACCUAGUGUGUACAUAUGUUGUAAUGAAAACCAUGUUUCUAUUUUAUUUAAUAAUAUAUCACUUCGAGGUAUUUCAGUCA